ACCAGGUCUUGACAUCCCAAUGCUAUUCUAGAGAUAGAAAGUUACUUCGGUACAUCGGUGACAGGUGGUGCAUGGUUGUCGUCAGCUCGUGUCGUGAGUAUGUUGGGUUAAGUCCCGCAACGAGCGCAACCCCUAUUGUUAGUUGCCAUCAUUCAGUUGGGCACUCUAGCGAGACUGCCGGUAAUAAACCGGAGGAAGGUGGGAUGACGUCAAAUCAUCAUGCCCUUAUGACCUGGGCUACACACGUGCUACAAUGGUUGGUACAACGAGUUGCGAGUCGGUGACGGCGAGCUAAUCUCUUAAAGCCAAUCUCAGUUCGGAUUGUAGGCUGCAACUCGCCUACAUGAAGUCGGAAUCGCUAGUAAUCGCGGAUCAGCACGCCGCGGUGAAUACGUUCCCGGGUCUU
Molecule: ribosomal RNA, 406 nt
Filed under: uncultured Streptococcus sp.
Lineage: Bacteria; Bacillati; Bacillota; Bacilli; Lactobacillales; Streptococcaceae
Description: bacterial SSU rRNA
Rfam family: Bacterial small subunit ribosomal RNA
Source: RNAcentral